Molecule: small nuclear RNA, 164 nt
Filed under: Nannospalax galili (Upper Galilee mountains blind mole rat)
Lineage: Eukaryota; Metazoa; Chordata; Mammalia; Rodentia; Spalacidae
Description: U1 spliceosomal RNA (ENSNGAG00000003002.1)
Rfam family: U1 spliceosomal RNA
About the family: U1 is a small nuclear RNA (snRNA) component of the spliceosome (involved in pre-mRNA splicing). Its 5' end forms complementary base pairs with the 5' splice junction, thus defining the 5' donor site of an intron.
Source: Rfam by way of RNAcentral
AUACUUACCUGGCAGCGGAAACACCAUGAUCAGGAAGGUGGUUUUCCCAGGGCGAGGCUUAUCCAUUGCACUUGGGAUGUGCUGACCCCUGCGAUUUCCCCAAAUGCGGGAGACUCGGCUGUAUAAUUUAUGGUAGUGGGGGACUGCGUUCGCGCUCUCCCCCA